UUUAUUGUAUUAUUAUUUAUGUUAUUGAUUCUGUCACUGAUGCUAUUAUUAUUACAUUUAAGGGGUAAUUUAUGAUUUUUUAAAUUAUAAAUAAUAUUUGAAAUAAGAGGAGAAAAAAAUAAUUCCAACACAUUGAGGAUUCACAAAAAUAAGGUCAAACUUGUCUGAAAAAAAUAAAAAUAAUAAAUAUAUAUGUAUAUAUAUAUAUAUAUUUAAUGGUUGUUUAGAUAAAAGCAUGAUGACUAAUUUUUUAUGUUUACUAUUAACAGGUGGGAAACAUAAAUAUAUAAAUAUACAGAAGUAAAUACACGCUUUAUCUCUUUGAGUAGUCCCACAACUAAACAUGGACUGGGCUUUUCUCUCUUGCUUCCUCGCUUAAGUAUCGAUUGAGCUGUGCAGUAUUACAGAAACACUUGAAUCUCAGGUGGCAGGAAUGUGUACAAUUGAUCUCUUCCACUGCGGCUCCCAGCAGUGGCUUUUUGCUCCACAACACAGAGCACCACAGGAAGAGCUGGGAGAACACACUGAAACACAAUCGCUACAGACUAAGAGGGGCUGUCCCAGUCUGCCCUGUUCACUGUCACAAUUUAUUGUAGUGCUGUGAGUCUCAUCCGCCGCUCUGCAGCUACCCUGAGAAUGUGCUUUCAGCGUACAAUAAACACACUCAUAGGAGAGAUUCAUAUGUGCUGCAUCUUCUGAGCUCAACACAAACACACUCCUACAUAUUUUGAUUUAUUCUUAACAUUUUAUCUAAUGUUUUUAUUUCAGUGUUGGUUGUUUUCCCCAGCGUCUGAGCUAAAUGGCUGAAUGGCCUUUUGCUGCAGGGUCUGGAGAGGAUGGGAACCAUCAGCAAAGAAACAUUACUCUCUCUAGCUUCCUUCAGUGAGCAGGUCAGGUUGAGAUGAAGCUGCAUGGAGGCGAUCACAGGAAGCUGGAGUCCCCUCCUACAUCUUCUGCCAUGUGCUGUCAGCCCCCCUGAGUCGAUACAAACCGUAGCCUGGGGCCCGGCCUGGACUCCCCACUGAGGUUCUGGCCCACCGCUGAGAGAUCAAAGACUCGCGGAGAACAAUAGUGAGCCCCACUUAGCUGGCCGCAGUUCACUUUCCCCCGGACGCACAGCCACACCUGCCCACACUGUCAAUCACACUCCGUUGAUGGACCUGCUCAAAGGCCUGGCCACUUCCUGCAAGAACAUAUUUCUGUGGUGCUUUUACACAUAUUUAUAUAAUUAUGCACAUUUAUUGUCUAAAUCACAACUGCAACUUUGGUCAGCAAAGUGCAUCCACCUCUGACUUAUAAGAUAAGCAUCCAUUCUCCAUGCAGGUGAAGUCCACAACAAAGGGGCUUCAAGAUUUGUUUCCUCCAUCUAGACCUCAAGCAGACAAGUUUGGCAGUUUGGUGAUGAUACAUUAUGAGAUUAAUACUUUCAGAUUUUAAGAAACAAACAAACAAAAGAAAUGAAACACUGAUUUUUUUUAAACCCUAAAGGUUGAAAAUGUAUUUUUUGUGUGAGUUGCCAAUCAGCUCUGCCUUUCAUUUCCUUAAUAUUGCCUGUAAUUGUAUUUCAUUGUAAGAAAAAAAGUGAUUCUUGGUUUUAUAUUUAUAUAAACCUUACCCUAAUUUGCGUUGUCACUUUCCUCCAGCCAUUUCAUGCUGGUUUUAUCUUCCUGUGGUUCUCAUCGUACUUCCUGUGGAAAACGGAGCCUGUCUGCUGCGUGUACACAGCUGGUUGGAAGACAAGACCUCCAGAUUGUAAGUACAAACAUCGAGCAGGAUUUUUCAGGCCUGUACACUCUCACAGUUAUCACAGACGAGCAAUCAAAGUCUUCUAGGAAAUAUCUAUCCUGCCCAAAACCAGACACCUUUUUUCUCUUAUUGCUGCUCCUGUUUGUUCUCCAUUGAAGUUGUGCUUUGCUCUUAUGAGGUUUUGGAGAUUGUCUUUGCAUAGUUUAUUUUUAUGGCACAGCGAUCUGGAGACUAUCCAAAUGUCAAGGUCAUUUAUCUUGCAGUUCAUCCGCUCCUUGGCUUUUGUGUGGUGAGAAAGGGAGGCACAGGCCCAUAUUGCAUUUCAUGACCUAUUGUGUCAAAUGAGUACCCAGACAAACAGGUGGGAGCCCUAAUGUGAGCUCCUCGUGGACCAGACUUUCCAAACUUGAGGCUCCCUGGCCCAUCCUUUAAUAAGGCACUCAUGCUUGCAGAACGGCCUCAGUGCUCUGUUUCGCUCAUCGUUAGAUGGGAACCUUCAGGGAUGCUAAUGAACAUACAGUGAGGGUUUGUCUCAUGCACAGUGCUCCCGCUAUCUGCGUCUUGCAGUUUAUCAUCACCACUGAAAUUGCAAGGCCAUUUUACUGGGCUUUUACUACAAGGGGGACAUUAAGCCCAUUGUGAUGCUAAUUCUUUAAAAUUUGAUGUCUAGGGUUUGUUCUUUCAGGUCAGAGUAGGUUUAUGAGACUGGGUCUUUUGACAGAGUACAAGCACCUUUUUUGUUAUCGCAGAAAAACCUGCAGUCAAGGGUUGUCCUCAUUGCCUCUAAAGGCAAAUUUAAUUUAAUGUGCAUUUCCAUUUUACAAUGAAUCACAUGUUUCCUUGUUUUGUACAGUAGAAUGGAGACAGAUCGUCUUUCUUUGGUUUUAAAGAACAGCUUCAAGAUUAAGUAGGCUGAUUGUGGCCCUUUCACCAUCAGAAAUACGGUUUGGUAACCCUAGCCAGGCCUGUCUGCUCUGGGGCUGAAACACACACAGAGUUGGGGACACUCUCUGUUAAUGUCAUCUCACAGAUUCAAUUUCCUCAUUGCAAUCUUACCACAAGUCCCACAACCUCUGACACAUAUUCUUAUUCCUUCUCACAGUGUCAAAGCAUGCUAGUGAGAUGGAAAGAUAUUCUGCAGCCGCAGAGAUAUUGAUAUCGAGCGUCAAGAUGGGAUGUCUGAGGGACUAGGAAGAAGCCCUUCAGCCGCUUGUCAGGUGUGUUUGAUUCCAUAGGUGCACCGGAGAGAUGUCUCGAGUUUAUUGAAUUUGUCAUUUUACCCUGGGAGUGAAAAGGGCACCUGUGUGCUGCCGUAAGCCCCAGCGCCAAGACCGCCACCCACAUCACAUGAUGACAGCUGAUGUGCAGGGACAACCCUGAAGCUGUUGAUUUAUUUUUUUUUUUUUUUGAAAGCAGUCCAUCAGUCUCUGCGUACAUUAUUCAUCAGGGAAACAGCUGAAAGGAUAUUUACUUUGUCAAUUUUCUCAUAAAAGCCUCCUCAGGCACAAAAAAGUCACCCGUGGUUACAGCAAGAAAAAUGUAGCUAUUUCAGUGGCAGGUUCAGUGCUCUGUCAGGCUCAAAUUGAAGACUGUUGUAGUUGUGGAUACUGGCCACCCACAUCAGUGCUAGAUCAAAGCAAUGGCCUGCUACAGUGCCUGAAUAUUCAGUGACGUUACUGGAGUGUGAUAGGUUCUUCUACUCAGUCACUGACUGUGGGAAAAUGAGGAAGGUCUGAUAGAGAUUUUGCUCUGUUCUGUCUUUUAUGGGAUUUUGGGUUGCUGUACAGUGUAUCUCACAGGUCAAGAUCACAGGUCUGCCACCCACUCCUUUAAAAACGAUUCACUUCUUUAGUCAAGGUUGGUUUUCUCAUUGGACAUCUUGUUGUAACCAAGAGGAAAAUGGUUUCCUCCGUGAAAUGUGUAAUCAAAUGUAAGAUAAGAAAUGCAUUAGGUCAUGGCAAUUCCCACAAUGUGCUGUUUGAUAUGGAGAUGUCUGUGUGUCUGUGUGUGUGUCUGCGUAUAUAACCCAAUUGCACCACGAGAAUUAGAUGUUUGACUCCCACUGGUUCCACCGGCACUAAAACUGCAUCACUCAUCAGAUUAAAGCUCACACUAAAUGGCAUAUGUUAUGAUUACGUGAUUUCAUGGACGUGUAAGUGUGCGUGUGUUUUGUGUGUGGGGGUCUUUUUGUACAUGCCUUUCUCAUGCUCAGUUAAGUCUGUGCCACCUGUGAUUAAUAAAAAAUAUCCCAGAUCCAGCAGGUUAAUGUUUAAUCAAUCAACUGGGAGAGAAGCCUCUAAAUGGCCUAGUUUAUUUUUAACCACAGCAUCACAUUAAAUCCACGAGGUUUUUCACAGCCAGAACUCAUUAUUUUUGCUUUCAGCUAAUGUUUAUCAAUCUGUGGUGAGAAUAUUUAAUAGGAAAUAAUGUUUUCCUAUCAGGGAAAAGUAUGAAAGGUUUCAGCUAUCAAGAACAUAAUGUUUUGAAAUGAAGAAUGAAGGGCUAAAAUGUCACAGAGCAAGCUCAACAUGUACAGUAACUGACAGUGUAAAAAUCCAGCUUGUAUCAAGUGAUAGUGGUGAUAUUUAGUUUCUUUCCCUCAAUCCUUAUGUUAGUAAUAUUUGUAGCACUUCUUCUGCCAUUGUGUGUUUCCUUUCCACUGUGAGCUGCCACUGUGUGACUUGGCUGAAGCACUUGCGCUAUGAAAUCAACACCCCACUCUCUAGCAAUAAUACUCUCUGAGGCUUGGCCAGUUUACUAAAUAAUCGAUCCAAAUAAAAGCAGCAGAUAAAAUUGACUGACCCUCAUAUACUUAAUUAUUGCAGCUAUUUGACCAAAUAGCAUUUUUCAGGAUGCUCUGUGUCACAGGCCAUCAAUAUUCCUUUAAUCGCUGUUAGUUAUUGCCCUACUUUGUUACUGCUGUGGAUGGCCAGUCUCCAGUGGUCAGUUUGGCCCAGGGCCGUGAGGGAAUGAGAUGCUAAAUGGUUGCGCAAACAAUUUGAUUAUGCUGUUUAAUUCCCGUCAUAUAGAUCUGCCGGGCCUGCUGAUGCAGUCAUUUCUGUGAGGCUGUACAGCAGAGUGCUGACCUGCCUGCCUCACACCACCGGCCUUGAAAGAGCUGUUUUUUCCUCCAUGACCUCAGCAUCAAUAGUGGCUGCUCCCUAGGUAUGGACCGGUGUCUUGCAGGUUUCACCUCUUACCACUAACCUUUCAGCGCUUGUAUGAUGGAGCUCUGUUCAACAUCCAGUCAAGUUCAAAUGUUGAAAGCUCUGGCAUGCUGCGUUUGGCCCUCAGUCCUUACCUAGCUGAACCAAGGUGCUGCAACACAUGGUGAGUUUAGGGUUAACGCUCCCCACCGAAACAGACCGCCUCAGCCAAGUGAAAAAUGAGAAAUGAGCAGGGCAAACUCUCAGGCCCAGUUGCCCAGUUCCCAAAAUUAACAUUUCAAUUCAAAACCAAUAAUAACGCAUUGUGUCUGGUAUGAAUGAGGGCUGCUGCAAAGGGAAGGCGAUACCUCCUGUUCCUGUGUCAAUGAAAAAGCUCCUUCAUCUUCUGCUAAAGGGCCCACACAGUCUGAGGUCAGCCAGUCAGCCUUGGUUACACUGCACAGGCAUGCCUGGGUGGACGGCUCGAGCUUCCCGGUGCCUUUACAAAAGCCAGGAACUACAAACACACACAUGCACACACGCACAUACACACACCUACACAGGCAUACACAGAAACACUCAUGUCAUGCUCUGCAUGCGGUUGAUGGCUCUCACGUUUUUCCAAGGACUACUUAGCAUGUUGAAAGAAAAGUACACUGUGUUCUUUGAAAUUAGUUGCUAAUAGCAAUAUCGUAUGACCAUUUAAGCUUUGGCCAGAUAUUGUCAUUCAAAACAUAAGAAUUGAAGGAGGGUAAAUAAUCUCUACAUGUGCAUUCCUCUUACUUCUCCCUCUACUGUUAGGCCUACAUUCAUACAGUGGUAACACCUUAUCUACUAGAAAUUUGGUCUAAAACGUGCUGUAUCUUGAGUGUGAAUACUGUAUGUCUCUGUUCACAUAAACCCUCUGAUAUGCUGAUUGACAGGAUAUCUCAGGCAGUUAGAAGGGGCCACAAACGAACACACUGUGUCAGGGGUUUUGGGCAUCUUGGCUUUUGAGAAUGGGAUUGGGAGCCAGCCUCUGCGGCUCUGCCAAGAAGGUGUCAGAGCCGACCUCUGCUACAUGCUCUCCUCCAUCAGAGAGCAGAUUACCAGUCUGGGAGGUGAGAGAGAAGGAUACAGGGCAAUUUCAAGAGAGCAUUGUGGCUAUUUCGUCCGAGACUGAAGGGGUGCAAGAGCCUAUCUGCAGGCUGUCUGUUCUAAGCGAUGCAAGCUGUGUUAGUGUGAGUGAUUCCUUACAUGUACUGCACUGUCUACAGGCAGGUGGCUUGUCCUGGUGGGUUAAUCUUCCACAGCUGAUGUUUCAUUUUUAUAUUCUAGUGUUUAAGGUAUUUUACACUAAAACAUUGGUUUGGGACAGUACCAUCAAUAAAAUCUCAAAAGAUCAAGUACUA
This is a long non-coding RNA of Micropterus salmoides (largemouth bass), 6283 nucleotides long. RefSeq lists it as uncharacterized. The record is from RefSeq and is a predicted model, not a curated record. NCBI's taxonomy places the organism in Eukaryota, Metazoa, Chordata, Actinopteri, Centrarchiformes, Centrarchidae. The transcript has 2 exons.